GGGUCAUGAGGUUGGUCGUGCCACCGGUACGUACUGGUCUCACUGAUUCCUCCUUCCUGAAGAACCGUAAUGCCAUUAAUUUGGUGUUGCGGGGAAACAGGACUGUUACUUUGAAAAAAUAGAGUGUUUAAAGCAAGCUAACGCUUGAAUACAUUAGCAUGGAAUAAUGAAAUAGGACGAUCGAUCCUAUUUUGUUGGUUUCUAGGAUUGACGUA
Molecule: ribosomal RNA, 215 nt
Filed under: Glomeromycotina sp.
Lineage: Eukaryota; Fungi; Glomeromycota
Description: partial small subunit ribosomal RNA
Rfam family: Eukaryotic small subunit ribosomal RNA (bases 40-215)
Source: RNAcentral